GAUGAACGCUGGCGGCGUGCCUAAUACAUGCAAGUCGAACGCUGAAGGAGGAGCUUGCUCUUCUGGAUGAGUUGCGAACGGGUGAGUAACGCGUAGGUAACCUGCCUGGUAGCGGGGGAUAACUAUUGGAAACGAUAGCUAAUACCGCAUGACAACAGUUAUUGCAUGAUAACUUUUUAAAAGGGGCAACUGCUCCACUACCAGAUGGACCUGCGUUGUAUUAGCUAGUUGGUGAGGUAACGGCUCACCAAGGCGACGAUACAUAGCCGACCUGAGAGGGUGGUCGGCCACACUGGGAAUGAGACACGGCCCAGACUCCUACGGGAGGCAGCAGUAGGGAAUCUUCGGAAAUGGACGGAAGUCUGACCGAGCAACGCCGCGGGAGGGAAGAAGGUUUUCGGAUCGUAAAGCUCGGUUGUAAGAGAAGAAAGAGUGUGAGAGUGGAAAGUUCACACUGUGACGGUAUCUUAACAGAAAGGGACGGCUAACUACGUG
This 495-nucleotide ribosomal RNA is filed under the name uncultured bacterium. Its description in RNAcentral is "partial 16S ribosomal RNA". It matches the Rfam family "Bacterial small subunit ribosomal RNA", at positions 28 to 507 of the family's 1533-position model. The record is from RNAcentral.